Molecule: ribosomal RNA, 468 nt
Filed under: uncultured bacterium
Lineage: Bacteria
Description: partial 16S ribosomal RNA
Rfam family: Bacterial small subunit ribosomal RNA
Source: RNAcentral
GACGAACGCUGGCGGCGUGCUUAACACAUGCAAGUCGAACGGAAAGGCCCUGCUUUUGUGGGGUUCUCGAGUGGCGAGGGGGUGAGAAACACGGGAGUAACCUGCCCUUGACGGUGUGAUAUCUUCAGGCAACUGGGGCUACUACCGGAUAGGAGCUCCUGCUGCAUGGGGGGGGUUGGAAAGUUUCGGCGGUUGUGGCUGGACUCGCGGCUUAUCAGCUGGUUGGUGGGGUAGUUGCUUACCAAGGCUUUGACGGGUAGCCGGCCUGGGAGGGUGACCGGCCACAUUGGGACUGCGAUACGGCGCAGACUGCUACGGGGGGCAGCAGUGGGGAACAUUGCACAGUGGGCGCAAGUCUGAUGCAGCAGCGCCGGGUGCGGAAUGACGUCCUUCGGGUUGUAAACCGCUUUCGCCUGUGACGAAGCGUGAGUGACGGUAAUGAGUAAAGAAGCACCGGCUAACUACGUG